This 75-nucleotide antisense RNA is filed under the name Micromonospora taraxaci. Its description in RNAcentral is "ASpks TB sRNA". It matches the Rfam family "ASpks TB sRNA". Lineage: Bacteria; Bacillati; Actinomycetota; Actinomycetes; Micromonosporales; Micromonosporaceae. The record is from RNAcentral.
CUUGAUCGAGCCGAGCCAGAGCGGGUCGCGCUCCCCUCGGUCACGGCCGUACGUGGCGAGCAGCGCCUGCGCCUC